Molecule: long non-coding RNA, 856 nt
Organism: Elaeis guineensis (African oil palm)
Lineage: Eukaryota; Viridiplantae; Streptophyta; Magnoliopsida; Arecales; Arecaceae
Source: RefSeq, a predicted model, not a curated record
UUGUGCAACUUAGAACACAUGCGACGAAAGUUUCUAAGAUCUCAUGACCAGGAAAUCCCUGGUUUCAUUGCUAUAAAUACCUCCACUACGAGCAAGUAUGGAGGUCUCAUCCACCACACUCCACCAAGCUAAGCCCAAAAAUGGCUCCAAAGCCUCUACUCCUCUUCCUUGCCAUCCACCUGCUUGCUACUGCCAUGUUCUUCACUCCGGCAGCAGCCGUAGAGACCCAAGCAGAGGAGGCUAAAGAACAACUCACUGCGAAGCAAAUGGGCGAAACAGAGGGUGUUGGAGAGGAGAAAAAAGUGUGCUACUACAUCAGAGGUCACAGAGUCUGCCACCCACCUACGGCUCAGGCAGAGACACACAGUGUUGAAGAAGAUAAAAGAGUUUGCUAUUAUGUCAGGGGUCACAGAGUCUGCCACCCACCGGCUCCCUAAAUGGCAGAGUGCAUCACGUUGCUGUACAUGGCCUCCCCCAUGAGUAUUGCUUGAUGUAGUGAGGAGAAGUUUGGAAAUAAAACCAAACCCUGAGUGUGUUUCUGUGCUACAUGUAAGUAGCCUACCAUAUGUGCCUUAUAUCUAUGUUAAAUAAUUGGGGAGGUGCCAUAAAGUUGUUCUCAAAAAAGAACAUGGAGAAAAAAGAGUUCCCUACAUAAGAUUGUGUCUUCUUCUUCCUUUUUCUUCACUGAGAACUGAGAGUAGGUAGUUUCCUUCUUUUAUCAUCUUCUUUGAUGGUCUGGAACAUGGAACUUGUGGUGCUGAUGGCCAGAACUAUCUAGCUCCAAAAUUAAAACCUAUGGAUCCAUUGCGCUGGCCUACUCUUGUGUAAUUUAAUAUAAGAGAGUUUUUCUUAUAAA